CGGAGCGUAGCGCAGCCUGGUAGCGCAUCUGGUUUGGGACCAGAGGGUCGUAGGUUCGAAUCCUAUCGCUCCGACCA
Molecule: transfer RNA, 77 nt
Filed under: Comamonadaceae bacterium
Lineage: Bacteria; Pseudomonadati; Pseudomonadota; Betaproteobacteria; Burkholderiales; Comamonadaceae
Also listed under: 2 other names
Description: tRNA-Pro
Rfam family: tRNA
About the family: Transfer RNA (tRNA) molecules are approximately 80 nucleotides in length. Their secondary structure includes four short double-helical elements and three loops (D, anti-codon, and T loops). Further hydrogen bonds mediate the characteristic L-shaped molecular structure. tRNAs have two regions of fundamental functional importance: the anti-codon, which is responsible for specific mRNA codon recognition, and the 3' end, to which the tRNAs corresponding amino acid is attached (by aminoacyl-tRNA synthetases). tRNAs cope with the degeneracy of the genetic code in two manners: having more than one tRNA (with a specific anti-codon) for a particular amino acid; and 'wobble' base-pairing, i.e. permitting non-standard base-pairing at the 3rd anti-codon position.
Source: RNAcentral